AAUAGCGGAGGAAAAGAAACUAACAAGGAUUCCCUUAGUAACGGCGAGUGAACCGGGAAGAGCUCAAAUUUGAAAUCUGGCGUCCUCCGGGCGUCCGAGUUGUAAUCUAUAGAAGCGUUUUCCGCGCCGGACCGUGUAUAAGUCUCCUGGAACGGAGUAUCAAAGAGGGUGACAAUCCCGUGCUUUACACGAUGACCGGUGCUAUGUGAUACGUUCUCUACGAGUCGAGUUGUUUGGGAAUGCAGCUCAAAACGGGUGGUAAACUCCAUCUAAAGCUAAAUAUUGGUGGGAGACCGAUAGCGAACAAGUACCGUGAGGGAAAGAUGAAAAGCACUUUGGAAAGAGAGUUAAACAGUAUGUGAAAUUGUUGAAAGGGAAACGAUUGAAGUCAGUCGUGUCCAUUGGGUUCAGCCGGUCCUGCCGGUCUACUCCCUUUGGACGGGUCAACAUCAGUUCUGACCGGCGGAUAAUGGCACGAGGAACGUGGCACCCUCCGGGGUGUGUUAUAGCCUCGCGUCGCAUACGCUGGUCGGGACUGAGGAACGCAGCUCGCCUUCAUGGCCGGGGUACGCCCACGUACGAGCUAGG
RNAcentral lists this ribosomal RNA (588 nucleotides) under Kwoniella europaea. Its description in RNAcentral is "partial large subunit ribosomal RNA". It matches the Rfam family "Eukaryotic large subunit ribosomal RNA", at positions 45 to 611 of the family's 3401-position model. Lineage: Eukaryota; Fungi; Basidiomycota; Tremellomycetes; Tremellales; Cryptococcaceae. The record is from RNAcentral.